Molecule: small nuclear RNA, 162 nt
Organism: Bactrocera oleae (olive fruit fly)
Lineage: Eukaryota; Metazoa; Arthropoda; Insecta; Diptera; Tephritidae
Product: U1 spliceosomal RNA
Source: RefSeq, a predicted model, not a curated record
AUACUUACCUGGCGUAGAGAUUACCGUGAUCAUAAAGGCGGUCCCUCCGGAGCGAGGCUUGGCCAUUGCACUUUGGCUGAGUUGACCUUCGCGAUUAUUCCUAAUGUGCAUAACUCGUGUGUGUAGGUUUUGGUAGACGGAAAGGCGUUCGAGCCGUCCGGA